Long non-coding RNA from Phyllostomus discolor (pale spear-nosed bat), 263 nucleotides. RefSeq lists it as uncharacterized. The transcript is spliced from 2 exons. Lineage: Eukaryota; Metazoa; Chordata; Mammalia; Chiroptera; Phyllostomidae. The record is from RefSeq and is a predicted model, not a curated record.
GGUUCUAGAAAAUCUAAAGAUGUAGGACAUUUUAGAAUAUGCAUUUAUUCCAAAAAAUAUGAAUAUUUAAAUAGUAUAUUGCUAGAAAAUGUUCAAUAGUGAUUGAGAAACUGAUUAGAUGGUUUUGCUGAUAUGUUUGUUUUACUUUCAACUUGUGUUUUGUUAUACCUGUGUGGCAAUUAUAAGGUUAGUAUUUUAUUGCUUUUAUCUAAAGGUCAUUAAAAGAUGUACGGAACAUAGGAUAGAGUAUGAUAUUUAAAAUG